This 563-nucleotide long non-coding RNA is filed under the name Anser brachyrhynchus (Pink-footed goose). RNAcentral describes it as "lncRNA (ENSABRG00000004633.1)". The record is from RNAcentral. Lineage: Eukaryota; Metazoa; Chordata; Aves; Anseriformes; Anatidae.
UUCCUCAAGAGGAAAAUAAGCUGCACCAUUUCUAUGAAGUAGGGGCUGGGAGAGAAGGCUCCAGUUCCCUAGAGAAGUGGUGGUCAACGGCAGGGUGCUGGUGGCAGAGCGAGGCCUGUGCUGUGCUCACUGGGGGUGCUGCUGCCAUAGGGGAGUGGACGCAAUGCUGAUGGGCCUUGGCUUGUUGGUUCUUGGGUGGCCCCAAAGGAGCAAGCUGUAAGGUUGUCUUCUGGGUGGUUCUGGCCACCAGAACUGAUCUUCCUGUGGGGCCUUCUGACAACAGCACCUCAGAGGCCAUGUCUGAGUUAUUUAAGUUUAAGCUUAACCAGAACAGCAUGCUUCUGAAGACAAGGCUGCUGGGGAGCGGCAGUGGCUGACGGGUGGCGCAUCCUGUGGUCUGCAUGGCUGGGACCGCAGAUGGGAGAAAGUCCUGAGGCUGUUGUAAAGAAAGGAGCCUGUCAUUCACCAUCACUCUUCUUGUUUUACGCCAGACUAACUCUUCCAAUGAAAGCUUUGGCUAUGUAAAGAAUAAAAGAUUACUCUUAUCCUUGGUACUUUUUUCA